UACUAGCGGUCCAAGUCGCAGCCACAUUUAUUGGGUCUAGAACAUCCGUAGCUUGCUUAAUAAGUUUCUUGUGAAAUCCUGUGUCUCAAGCAUAGGGCGUGCAAGAAGUACUGUUUAGCUAGAGACUGGAAGACGUAAGAAGUACGUUCGAAGUAGCGGUAAAAUGUGUUAAUCUCGGACGGACUCACAAUAGCGAAGGCAUCUUACGAGGACAGUUCUGACAGUAAGGGAUGAAGGCCAGGGGCGCAAAACGGAUUAGAUACCCCUGUA
Molecule: ribosomal RNA, 270 nt
Filed under: uncultured prokaryote
Description: partial 16S ribosomal RNA
Rfam family: Archaeal small subunit ribosomal RNA
Source: RNAcentral